This 245-nucleotide ribosomal RNA is filed under the name uncultured bacterium. RNAcentral's name for it is "partial 16S ribosomal RNA". It matches the Rfam family "Bacterial small subunit ribosomal RNA", at positions 524 to 769 of the family's 1533-position model. The record is from RNAcentral.
UACGUAGGGGGCAAGCGUUGUCCGGAAUUAUUGGGCGUAAAGCGCGCGCAGGCGGCUGUUUAAGUCUGGUGUAUAAACCUGGGGCUCAACUCCGGGUCGCACUGGAAACUGGAUGGCUUGAGUGCAGAAGAGGAGAGUGGAAUUCCACGUGUAGCGGUGAAAUGCGUAGAGAUGUGGAGGAACACCAGUGGCGAAGGCGACUCUCUGGGCUGUAACUGACGCUGAGGCGCGAAAGCGUGGGGAGC